UGAUGACUCUGAAGUAUUCAAGGUUUGUUUGGACUAUUGGAAUUCAUUAGUUUUGGAGUUGUUUGGGUCGCAACAUCAUGUCGGUCACCCUGCACUAACUCCAAGUUUGUUUGGAAUGCAAUGUCAGAUGGCUUUCCUUCCUCGUACGGUUGAUAGUGUUAAACCUGAAGUCACAGAGCGGCAUAAAAUUUAUUCAGAUCCAUUGUCAAAAGUAAGAGGGCUCAUGAUUAGUCGCAUGGCUAAGCCUGAAGAAGUGUU
This is a non-coding RNA of Camelina sativa (false flax), 258 nucleotides long. NCBI's taxonomy places the organism in Eukaryota, Viridiplantae, Streptophyta, Magnoliopsida, Brassicales, Brassicaceae. The record is from RefSeq and is a predicted model, not a curated record.